This 119-nucleotide ribosomal RNA is filed under the name Esox lucius (northern pike). The record is from RNAcentral. Lineage: Eukaryota; Metazoa; Chordata; Actinopteri; Esociformes; Esocidae.
GCUUACGGCCACACCUCCCUGACACGCCCGAUCUCGUCUGAUCUCGGAAGCUAGAGCAGGGUCGGGCCCGGUUAGUACUUGGAUGGAGACCGCCUGGGGAAUACCAGGUGCUGUAACCU